UCCACCUUGAUUGUGAGGCAGCCAGGUGGGUGAGCGUCCCUGCAGAAACUCCAACCUGCCGGCCCACUGAGGUGGAGCCCCGGGAGGUUCACACCCUUUGCAGCAGGGAGGAGCCUGGCCCCUCCUCUUCCUGUUUGGAACCUGGGAUUCAAAUGGCCUGGCAGGAAGUGCUCUAGCAGAGGGACUCUGGCCUUGCAAGAGUCCCUAUUUCCCCCUUUUUUUUUGCUUUUCACACAGUAAAACCCUGCUUUACUUCCCUUUGAGUCGUCUGUGAGCCUAAAUUUUUGUGGCUGUGGGAAGGACAAGAACCCCAUCUUUAGCUGAAAUAAGGAAAAGUUCCGCAACAUUUUUGGCACACACCCUGGGGGCUCCGGAAGUGAAAGUUCCCAGGAGAUGAAGACAUUGAAACUGCCAUCAUAAAAUUAAUAAAAGGUUCAAGAUUAGAAUUAUGGUAUUGGCCUGGAUUUUGUUAAGACAGAGACAUAGGAUUAUGUUGGCUCGGAGAAUGAUACCUCAAAGGCUGGUGCUGAGAGUUCUUAGAAGCUGCUUCAGAAUCAAGGAUCUCUCCAGAGAUCAACCACUGGAGAAAAGAUACUAGGAGUCAUCACCACAUCUAGACAGAGUGCUGCUCCAAGAGAUUAACUGAGGGAUUUCAUCUGCAUAAUAAGUCAACCUUUUUUCCGGGCGCAAUGGCUCACGCCUGUAAUCCUAGCACUUUCGGAGGCCCAGUUGUCUUCUCCUCAUAGUCCUCCACUAAAGCCUGAACAACAAGGAAUGCUGUCGGAACUGGACCUUGAUGAAGGAAAUACUUUCUGACUCAUUGGAAUUUGUUAUAGUCAAAUUUGCCUAUGUGAUAACUUAGGUCUUCACGAUGGCCCAGAGUAAGACGACGCAGGAGGACCCUUCUAGUCAUUUAAUUAUUGCUUGACCAGAACUGUGCCUUGUAAGGUGUUUCCAGACCUAAGAAUAACAGGAACAUGGAGGAGUGGCAUCUCCAGUGUAGCCACCCACCAAAGCCUCAUCCUGAACACUAUGGCCUAGUGGGUCACUUACAGGGAUGUAGCUGGCAUUGAUGUAGUCAGAGCAAGGAUCAUCAUCUACAUUGGAGAGCUUCACUCGCGUGGCAUCAUCUGGAAGGAGAGAUUUGCUGCUGAGUCUUGGAGUGACUUUUCUACAGUUUAUGUGAUGUGUGUGAUGUGCCUUAGCUCUGAUCCCCACAACAGCCACAGAUGGGAAGUGAUCUUAUCUCCAUUUUGCAGAUGAGGCUCAGGCAGGAUAACUAACUUGCCCCAUGUUGCAUAGGUGGCCUAUAACCAGUCAGACACAGGAGACAACAUGAAGCCCCAUCUGUGCUUCCCUUUCUGACAUUACCACAUUUGCCUGAUGGAGUGGCCAGCUCCCUUUCACUGCUGGAAUGAAUACAAUCCAGAAAACCUACCUUCUAUUGCUUUACCUAAUGGGGUAAGGAAAUUUAAGUAGAAAUUGCUAACCGAAGACUUUGCUAAGCAAACCCAGGUCUGCUUGAUGUCAGAGCCCUUGCUGUUAACCCCAUUUACUGCUUAGCCUCCAAAGAGAAGCAAUAGCAUCACAUGGGGAAAUGUCAACAGCAUAAGAGGACUUUCAUAAUCAGAAUUUAAACUGGCUAUUAUCCCUCUGGAGGGAAGUGCAGGAAUAUACAAGCUAUUUCUUAUUAAAGGCAUUCAGAGCUUGAGAUUGUCCAUAUCGAGCUAUAUUAUAUUUCUUUAGCCUCAUUUCAUUUUUGGAGAAAAAUGCAGAAAUGGCUAGAGGAAGACAGUAUUACAAAUUUUGACACAAAACUUACAGGGCAAUAUAUUGUUGUAUCGAUUUUUCCCUCUAUUCUCCGGCAAGAGUGCAAUGUCACAUGACUGGUUUCGGCCCACGUCUUUUAACUCCUGUUAGGUCAAAUAUGAGUUUGUAAGUGGAGAAUAUGAAAUAGAAUAAAGCAAAUCAUACAGUCCUGGAGAUAACAUAAUAACAUGAAAAUAUAUACACUAGCUAUUGUUUAUGAAUGCCUAGUACUCAACAUGCAUUAGCCCUGAUCCCCACAACAGCCCCACAAGGGAGGUGGUGGUCUCACUAUUUUACAGGUGAGGCUCAGUCAGGAUAACUGAUGUGCCCCAGGUCACCCAAGUGGCAAACCUGAGAAUCAGUUCCAAAAGCUACGUGCUUUUUGCGAAACCACGGCAUCUUCCAGCCAAGCAAAUGGCCAGGCUGAAUAUCUGACAGCUUUAGGUCUGCAUUUGAGAUUUGUUAAUUCUUCCUUACUAUCUGAUCCAGGUAGCCCUUGGUUUGCUGUGUUAUUCUGGAGCUCAAGCUGGCCUCUAAGAUUAGAUGGUAUAUUCUAUUCAGGGCAUAGUUUAGGCAUAAAAGAGUGCUCAGCUGAGAUUCUAA
Molecule: long non-coding RNA, 2412 nt
Filed under: Homo sapiens (human)
Lineage: Eukaryota; Metazoa; Chordata; Mammalia; Primates; Hominidae
Description: HSALNT0191241
Source: RNAcentral